Molecule: ribosomal RNA, 916 nt
Filed under: Lepidapedon elongatum
Lineage: Eukaryota; Metazoa; Platyhelminthes; Trematoda; Plagiorchiida; Lepocreadiidae
Description: eukaryotic LSU rRNA
Rfam family: Eukaryotic large subunit ribosomal RNA
Source: RNAcentral
CUAACAAGGGAUUCCCCCAGUAACGGCGAGUGAACAGGGAUUAGCCCAGCACCGAAGCCUGUGGCCAUUUGGUUACUAGGCAAUGUGGUGUUUAGGUCGUUCCGCAGAGGCACUGCUCCACUCCAAGUCCAGCAAUGAGUACGGUAGUACAGACUUGGCCCAUAGAGGGUGAAAGGCCCGUGGGGGUGGAGAUUCAGGCAGGCCAGUGUCUCUCUGGAUAGACCUUGGAGUCGGGUUGUUUGUGAAUGCAGCCCAAAGCGGGUGGUAAACUCCAUCCAAGGCUAAAUACUAGCACGAGUCCGAUAGCGAACAAGUACCGUGAGGGAAAGUUGAAAAGUACUUUGAAGAGAGAGUAAACAGUGCGUGAAACCGCUCAGAGGUAAACGGGUGGAGUUGAACUGCAAGCCUUGAGAAUUCAGCUGGUGAGUGUGGUUUGAGCUUGGUCAAAUUGGUUGUACUCUGGGGUCUGUGUAUUUACAGUUCUCUGCCCUCGGGUGGGGAUGCGCGAAUGGCUUAUCAAGUCUUGUGCGCUCCAGUUGUAUUCGGACCUGCUUGCCAGUGCACUUUCUCUUGGUGUUCACCACGACCGGCACUGCUGUCUGGCUGUUGUGGUUAAACCGGUCUUGCAUUGUCCUUGUGGCUUUGUUUGGUCGGGACGGCAGGUAGCUCGUUGGCUAGUCUGGGGUAACCUGGGCAAUUGGUCUUCGGGUGUAAUCAGCUGACCAUGAUGGUUCUGUGCGGUGUGUCGGAGACGGCGGCUUGUUGUGUGAGCGCGCGUGCCUUGUCUUCUGACUUGUUUGGGUCUGAUGGCUUUGUUGCUUGUUCUGCAAGCCUGGCUUUGGCCUGAGCAUGUUUGGUUGGCGGUGGCGUGUGUGACACUAAUACAGGGCCAAUAGUCUGUGGUGUAGUGGUAGAC